RNAcentral lists this ribosomal RNA (160 nucleotides) under Aulacomnium androgynum. Its description in RNAcentral is "5.8S ribosomal RNA". It matches the Rfam family "5.8S ribosomal RNA". Rfam says of the family: 5.8S ribosomal RNA (5.8S rRNA) is a component of the large subunit of the eukaryotic ribosome. It is transcribed by RNA polymerase I as part of the 45S precursor that also contains 18S and 28S rRNA. Functionally, it is thought that 5.8S rRNA may be involved in ribosome translocation. The record is from RNAcentral. Lineage: Eukaryota; Viridiplantae; Streptophyta; Bryopsida; Aulacomniales; Aulacomniaceae.
UACACAACUCUCAGCAACGGAUAUCUUGGCUCCUGCAACGAUGAAGAACGCAGCGAAAUGCGAUACCUAGUGUGAAUUGCAGAAUUCCGCGAAUCAUUGAGUCUUUGAACGCAAGUUGCGCCCGAGGCUUGACCGAGGGCAUUCCCGUUAGAGCGUCACC